AUACGGAGGGUGCAAGCGUUGUUCGGAAUUACUGGGCGUAAAGCGCGUGCAGGCGGUAAGGUAAGUCAGAUGUGAAAGCCCCGGGCUCAACCCGGGAAGUGCAUUUGAUACUGCCUUUCUUGAGUAUGGGAGAGGAGAGUGGAAUUCCCAGUGUAGAGGUGAAAUUCGUAGAUAUUGGGAGGAACACCCGUGGCGAAGGCGACUCUCUGGACCAAUACUGACGCUGAGACGCGAAAGCGUGGGGAGCAAACAGGAUUAGAUACCCUAGUAGUCC
This 274-nucleotide ribosomal RNA is filed under the name uncultured bacterium. Its description in RNAcentral is "partial 16S ribosomal RNA". It matches the Rfam family "Bacterial small subunit ribosomal RNA", at positions 523 to 796 of the family's 1533-position model. The record is from RNAcentral.